GACGAACGCUGGCGGCGUGCUUAACACAUGCAAGUCGAGCGGUAAGGCCCUUUCGGGGGUACGACGAGCGGCGAACGGGUGAGUAACACGUGGGUGACCUGCCCUCAGCUCUGGGAUAAGCCUGGGAAACCGGGUCUAAUACCGGAUAUGACUCCAUGACGCAUGUUGUGGGGUGGAAAGCCUUGCGCGGCUGAGGAUGGGCCCGCGGCCUAUCAGCUUGUUGGUGGGGUGAUGGCCUACCAAGGCGACGACGGGUAGCCGGCCUGAGAGGGCGACCGGCCACACUGGGACUGAGACACGGCCCAGACUCCUACGGGAGGCAGCAGUGGGGAAUCUUGCGCAAUGGGCGAAAGCCUGACGCAGCGACGCCGCGUGAGGGAUGACGGCCUGG
Molecule: ribosomal RNA, 391 nt
Filed under: uncultured bacterium
Lineage: Bacteria
Description: bacterial SSU rRNA
Rfam family: Bacterial small subunit ribosomal RNA
Source: RNAcentral